ACCUCUGCAAUGGGCGAAAGCCUGACAGGGUUACUCUGAGUGAUUUCCGCUAAGGAGAUCUUUUGGCAGCUCUAAAAAUGGUGCAGAAUAAGGGGUGGGCAAGUCUGGUGUCAGCCGCCGCGGUAAUACCAGCACCCCGAGUGGUCGGGACGAUUAUUGGGCCUAAAGCAUCCGUAGCCGGUUGUGCAAGUCCUCCGUUAAAUCCAGCCGCUCAACGGAUGGGCUGCGGAGGAUACUACAGGACUAGGAGGCGGGAGAGGCAAGCGGUACUUAGUGGGUAGGGGUAAAAUCCUUUGAUCCAUUGAAGACCACCAGUGGCGAAGGCGGCUUGCCAGAACGCGCUCGACGGUGAGGGAUGAAAGCUGGGGGAGCAAACCGGAUUAGAUACCCGGGUAGUCCCAGCUGUAAACGAUGCAGACUCGGUGAUGGGCUAGCCUCGUGUCAGCCCAGUGCCGCAGGGAAGCCGUUAAGUCUGCCGCCUGGGGAGUACGGUCGCAAGACUGAAACUUAA
RNAcentral lists this ribosomal RNA (511 nucleotides) under uncultured Nitrososphaerota archaeon. RNAcentral's name for it is "bacterial SSU rRNA". It matches the Rfam family "Archaeal small subunit ribosomal RNA", at positions 346 to 859 of the family's 1478-position model. The record is from RNAcentral. Lineage: Archaea; Thermoproteati; Nitrososphaerota.